Molecule: long non-coding RNA, 937 nt
Filed under: Calidris pugnax (ruff)
Lineage: Eukaryota; Metazoa; Chordata; Aves; Charadriiformes; Scolopacidae
Description: lncRNA (ENSCPUG00000015215.1)
Source: RNAcentral
AUGUUGAAAAAUCAGUGCUCAAUCUUCUUAUUUUUUGAUACCACGAAUGCAAUAUAUCAGCAUCUUUUGCAGAUUUCUACAUCACUGGUGGUGGUUACACAAGUGCUUGGCAUAUGCCCUAAAAGCAGCAAUGCAAAAAUGGAGUUUUUUCUAACUUCUCAAAGAUCACUUCAAACAAGACGUGCUAGACUCCAGCAAUGCUUUCUGUCUGCUAGGAAACCAUUCCAGUAUCCGAGUUCAUCGAUGUAUAUAAAUCAUCGCUGCCGAGUGCCAUUCCCAGCCGAUGGUGAGAUGAACCUCAGUUACCGCCUUGGAAUAGGACAGUAAGCAAAUGCUGGAGAUCUUUUUUAUUGACUAGAAUCUUAGAAUCUUCCUGGGACAUCCUUCCACAAAUGCAGGUUCCUUACCUGUUUUUCCUAGAAGCAGAGCAGCGUGUGGCUGCGUAGGCCUAUUGUGUUGAUUCUGGCUUUGUGUGUUUAAAAAAAAAAAUUAAAAAAAAAAAAAUAUCACCACUAUCUGUGCCUUUACCGGGAGUGGUUUGGGGAUAAGUCGUAAGAACAGAAAAAUGAUUUUGGCGAUACAUUUGAGUUGUCUUUGCUAAUCAAAAUGAUCUUCCUGUUCUUUGUAUGUUUUUUUGGUGUACGUAGUGUUAUGUAGAGUUUACAGUGUAUUAUGUAAGUAUUUCAAAUAUUUAGCUAUUGCUGUGGAUUAAAUGUUAUUUUAACACCAGAACUUCAUGUGGUGCUGUGGAAGGUGACAGAUUUUUCAAAUUAGGCAAAAGUAUUUACUUGAAACUGUUUGCAUAAUAGGAUGUUAGUAAACUUAAAGACUGGAUAGUUUAUAUCUCACUUGAGUGCAUGAUCGAACUUGUUAGGGCAAGUAUUCACAAAUAGAUUGUCCUAAUAAACUGUAAUGUGGUUUGUUAUUCUAAGUAGUU